RNAcentral lists this ribosomal RNA (1289 nucleotides) under Medauroidea extradentata. RNAcentral describes it as "SSU rRNA". It matches the Rfam family "Eukaryotic small subunit ribosomal RNA", at positions 686 to 1823 of the family's 1831-position model. Lineage: Eukaryota; Metazoa; Arthropoda; Insecta; Phasmatodea; Phasmatidae. The record is from RNAcentral.
UUUCUACACUUGCCUACACUAACACAAUUCAACACAUUAAUCUACACCCGUAAUGCAGCCUGCACCGCUCUUCCAGCGGUGUUGCCGGUCCCAAGCCCGGGAAAAUGCAGAGGGAAAUUUGUGUGUGGCUUAAAGACACAAAUACAAUUUGCCCUUGGUUUGCCUGCAAUGGAACACCAUUACUUCCAUCACCAUCAAGCACGUGUCUAUGCCAAGAAACAUUGCAUUGACCAAGAUAUAGAGCUUCGCCAAAUUUUCAUGGCAAGGGGUUCUACUCCAACUUCUGGCAACAACCUAAUACACAUUGCCAGGCAUUUUCAGUGCCUUACACCAGUCGAUAAAACAACUUCUCUAGGGAAAUCAUAUUCCCUGAUGUCAAGUUUUGCCUAUUUCGGUCAGCACGCGAAUCUCGCGGGCACGUUACCUGGUGUUUUCGUUAAUCAAGAACGAAAGUUAGAGGUUCAAAGGCGAUCAGAUACCGCCCUAGUUCUAACCAUAAACGAUGCCAGCUAGCGAUCCGCCGAAAUUCCUCCGAUGACUCGGCGAACAGCUUCCGGGAAACCAAAGCUUUUGGGUUCCAGGGGAAGUAUGGUUGCUAAGCGGAAACUUAAAGGAAUUGACGGAAGGGCACCACCAGGAGUGGAGCCUGCGGCUUUGUUUGACUCAUCACGGGAAACCUCACCAGGCCCAGACACCGGAAGAAUUGACAGAUUGACAGAUUGAGAGCUCUUUCUUGAUUCCGUGGGUGGUGGUGCAUGGCCGUUCUUAGUUGGUGGAGCGAUUUGUUUGGUUAAUUCCGAUAACGAACGUGACUCUGGCCUGCUAACUAGUCGCUUCCGGUAUCCCUUCGUGCUACCGGCGACUAAUGAUUUUCUUAGAGGGAUAGGCGGCUUCUAGCCACACGAGAUUGAGCAAUAACAGGUCUAUGAUGCCCUUAGAUGUUUUGGACCGCACGCACGCUACACUGAAGGAAUCAGCGUGUCCUCCUAGCCCGAAAGGGCCGGGUAACCAGUUGAACCUGCUUUGUGCUAGGGAUUGGGGCUUGCAAUUGUUCCCCAUGAACGAGGAAUUCCCAGUAAGUGCGAGUCAUAAGCUCGCGUUGAUUAUGUCCCUGCCCUUUGUACACACCGCCCGUCGCUACUACCGAUUGAAUGAUUUAGUGAGGUCUUCGGACUGGUGCCCGAUGGCUCGCUCGUCGAGUAGUUGAUGUUACUGGAAAGAUGACCAAACUUGAUCAUUUAGAGGAAGUAAAAGUCGUAACAAGGUUUCCGUAGGUGAACCUGUGGAAG